Molecule: long non-coding RNA, 1535 nt
Filed under: Homo sapiens (human)
Lineage: Eukaryota; Metazoa; Chordata; Mammalia; Primates; Hominidae
Description: HSALNT0338092
Source: RNAcentral
GGGCUCUUGAGCUGCUUCGUUGAUCGAGCCAACUCUCACUCUAUAGAGUGUACUUUCACUUCAAUAAACCUGCACUUUCGUUGCUUCCUUCCUUUGUUGCUUUGUGCAUUUUAUUAAAUCCUUUGUCCAACACGCCAAGAACCUGGACAACUCACAGUCACGACUUCCUAUCUGGUAAAGAAGUAGCUGAGGGAAACGCAGCUUUGUGAGGGAAGCCUGGAGCGUGAGAAAUCUGCUCACACUGGAUUCUGCCUCGGGCUCGACAGAAUGUCACAGCAGACCCGCGAUGUGACAGGCUCACUGGUGUACACACGGCUGUGUCGGCCAUGGCCCUGUCAGCUACCCUGAAGCUUCAGAUCUACUUCCUGGCUCAGACCACCUGCAACACACUGGUUUGGCAUCUAGCGGGUUGUGCUUGCAGAACAGCAGGCUGGCUCCGUGCACCUGCUCAGUGGGGCUGGGCUUUAGCAACCUGCAUUGAGGCUGCUCUUCUUAACUUUUCUCUAACUUGCUUCAUGAAAGUUAAUUCUGCUGGGACCCCACGAGGCAGCGGAGAGCCCACUCUGCCCAUGAUUGGUGCCCUGGGCUGGCACGCAGAGUUUAAUGGAGGAGCCCGGGAGAGAGGGAUGCCUGAGAACCAGGGAUGUGGGCUGGAGCAGUGCCACCUCCUCUAACUCACCCGCAAGCCCAGCCAACCGGCUAAACCUUCCCCACAGAGCCUCAGUCUCCUUAUCUGUAAAAUGGAUUACCUGGCACUUGUCCAGUCUUUCUGCAGUCAACAUCGCCCAGAUUCCAUGCAGAACCCUUUGCAGACUCCUGAGGAGGUACAGACAAGGAGUGUCCCUGUCCUCAUGGUGCUACAUGAAAAGGGAUCAGGACAGCAUAGUGUGUCCUCUGUCUUGAGAAGUUCGCAUCCAGCUCUGCCAUGGACCAGCCAUGCUCAUGGAUUGCCUCUCAUUUUGCUACGGACAGGAGACAGGAAAAUACUGGGUAGAAGAGGGCGGUUCCCGACAAAGGCCCCAACCUCAAGCCUGAAGACCCACGACCCUAAAUGAGGACAGCCAUUUCUGAUUUUGUGCCCAAAAAUUUGCCUUUUGGCCUGCCACACCCAACAUCUUGCCCCUAUAUAAACCCGAGACCUUAGCGGGCACACACACAAUCAGCCAAAUGUUGGGAUUAGCAGACCAGUGGACCAGCGGACCAGCAGACCAGUUAACGGUGGAACAACGCAGCAGAGAAAGAGAGAAGAGGAGGGAUGUCUGAAUGCCAAGGGGAAUUCGGCCGCGGGCAGUUAGAAAAGUCUGGCUGCUGGGCGGCCCGACUCUAGGGGAAGACCACCUUCCCACUCCAUCCCCUGUUCUGGCUCCCCAUCCAUCUCCCUGAGAGCCACCUCUACCACUCAAUAAAACCUUUCAUUCAUCCUUUGAGCCCAUAUGUGAUUUGAUUCUUUCAGGACGCUCAGCAAGAGCUCAGAAUAUAGAAGGUUGUCUCAGUGGUCCCCUGCCCUUGCGAUAAGGCAGAGGGUCCAUUGAGCU